AGUGAACGCUGGCGGCAGGCCUAACACAUGCAAGUCGAACGGCAGCACAGUAAGAGCUUGCUCUUACGGGUGGCGAGUGGCGGACGGGUGAGGAAUACAUCGGAAUCUACUAUUUCGUGGGGGACAACGAAGGGAAACUUACGCUAAUACCGCAUACGAUCUACGGGUGAAAGCAGGGGAGCUUCGGACCUUGCGCGAUUGAAUGAGCCGAUGCCGGAUUAGCUAGUUGGCGGGGUAAAGGCCCACCAAGGCGACGAUCCGUAGCAGGUCUGAGAGGAUGAUCCGCCACACUGGAACUGAGACACGGUCCAGACUCCUACGGGAGGCAGCAGUGGGGAAUAUUGGGCAAUGGGCGAAAGCCUGAUCCAGCCAUACCGCGUGGGUGAAGAAGGCCUUCGGGUUGUAAAGCCCUUUUUUUGGGGAAGAAAAACAGCGUGUUAAAACCCCGCUGUUCUGACGGUACCCAAAGAAUAAGCACCGGCUAACUUCGUG
This 492-nucleotide ribosomal RNA is filed under the name uncultured bacterium. Its description in RNAcentral is "partial 16S ribosomal RNA". It matches the Rfam family "Bacterial small subunit ribosomal RNA", at positions 29 to 507 of the family's 1533-position model. The record is from RNAcentral.